This is a non-coding RNA of Apis mellifera (honey bee), 107 nucleotides long. Lineage: Eukaryota; Metazoa; Arthropoda; Insecta; Hymenoptera; Apidae. The record is from RefSeq and is marked provisional.
CGAGAUCUGCGUCCUCGGCGAUUACCCUGAGUAUGCUCCGAUGCAUAGGCGUGUCCUCCGCGACGGUGGCCUCGUACUUGGUCGGGUAGAAGAGGGGGUUCAGGUCG